RNAcentral lists this ribosomal RNA (465 nucleotides) under Vreelandella stevensii. Its description in RNAcentral is "partial 16S ribosomal RNA". It matches the Rfam family "Bacterial small subunit ribosomal RNA", at positions 338 to 795 of the family's 1533-position model. The record is from RNAcentral. Lineage: Bacteria; Pseudomonadati; Pseudomonadota; Gammaproteobacteria; Oceanospirillales; Halomonadaceae.
CCUACGGCGGGCAGCAGUGGGGAAUAUUGGACAAUGGGCGAAAGCCUGAUCCAGCCAUGCCGCGUGUGUGAAGAAGGCCUUCGGGUUGUAAAGCACUUUCAGUGGGGAAGAAAGCCUUGGGGCUAAUACCCUCGAGGAAGGACAUCACCCACAGAAGAAGCACCGGCUAACUCCGUGCCAGCAGCCGCGGUAAUACGGAGGGUGCGAGCGUUAAUCGGAAUUACUGGGCGUAAAGCGCGCGUAGGCGGUCUGAUAAGCCGGUUGUGAAAGCCCCGGGCUCAACCUGGGAACGGCAUCCGGAACUGUCAGGCUAGAGUGCAGGAGAGGAAGGUAGAAUUCCCGGUGUAGCGGUGAAAUGCGUAGAGAUCGGGAGGAAUACCAGUGGCGAAGGCGGUCUUCUGGACUGACACUGACGCUGAGGUGCGAAAGCGUGGGUAGCAAACAGGAUUAGAUACCCCGGUAGUC